Aegilops tauschii subsp. strangulata is the source of this 1343-nucleotide non-coding RNA. The record is from RefSeq and is a predicted model, not a curated record. Lineage: Eukaryota; Viridiplantae; Streptophyta; Magnoliopsida; Poales; Poaceae.
CCGAACAGAGUUGCUCUGCUCCAGUCCACUUGUUGUUCCUUCUUCCCCAAGCGCUCCUAAGAGCUCCUCGGUCUUUCCUCUGCGCUCCUCUUUCCUCCGCCGAGACUGAGAUCGACUCUGCGCUGACAUCCGAUUCGGAAAACUGCACCCUCGUGCGGGCGAAGAGCGCUUAGCUCGUCCACCGUGCGCACAUACCAUGGCUCCCCUCGAGGAAGCGAACAACUUCGAAGCAGAUCCAGAUGGGCUGGCUGAAGACGUCGAGCUAGCGCCGAGGAGGAAGGGUAGCGGCCCUCACAAACCAACUGGGUUGGAAGGAUCCGAUCCCAACGACAUUCCGUCGGUACGAUGCGGCUUCACUGCUUCUUACCUGAGCUCCCUGUCGCCGAUGCUUUACCCUCAGGUGACAAAAACCGAGUUGGGAUCCCUGUUGACAGUCCGCAGUGCCUGUGGUGAGGAUAAUAAAAUGUACUGGACUCUCCUCAUGUGCGUCGACACGGAAAAAAGAGCCCUCAAGUUUCCAGAUGGGGAGUUUAGGGUCCUAGAUGACCCAACAAUAGAGUAUAUUACGGGGAUUAAGUCAGGGUCUACAACCAUCCUCGUAGGUGUAGAGAACCUGGAUUUUAGAUCAGAACGACAGGCCGUGCGGAAGCUGCUGGGUUUAGAUAGUUCACUUAGGGGGAAAUCAAGGUUUCCGAGGUUUUUUCGGUGGUUAGAGGCAUAGAUCCGCGUUCCGAAGAUAAAAAAGACUUGGAUCCAGCCAACGUGGGCUACACACUGCUGGUAUGUGCCACGAUGGUUGCACCACAGGCCAACUCUACGUAUGUCCCAGAUGAAAUACUACAUUGCGUCACAAAUCCAGAUAUUAUCGGAUCAUUCAACUGGGGGAAGUACAUAGUUGACAACAUCAUGCUAAACGCAAAACGUGUGCAGCAUCACCACAAGGACAAAAUAGGUGUCUGCCUCAUGGGAGGAUUCCAACUGGUGCUUCAGGUAUGGAAUCGCUCUACGUGCGUGCAUGGCUAAUGCAAAAAGCGUUUGUCCUUUUUCAUCCUUGUCUAUGAUUGCCAAAAAGCUGAUGCUCUGUUUCUUGUCCUCAUUCUUUCAGGCGUUCUUCGCUGAGUGGAUGGAUUUUCAAACUAGCAUGACGCCAAAUGUUUGGCCGCGUAUAUCUGCAUACUCAACGGAAAUCCUAAGAGAAAUAUUUAUUCUCGCAAGGGAUCCAAAACACAGAUUCAAGGUGACACUUUUUGCUCUCUUUUUUCACGAGUUUGUUUCAUUGUCAUGCAAAUUAUACAUGACUACAAUUAUAAUUGUUAACAAAAUAUGCAGACAAAAGCUGAAGG